RNAcentral lists this ribosomal RNA (325 nucleotides) under uncultured eukaryote. Its description in RNAcentral is "partial 18S ribosomal RNA". It matches the Rfam family "Eukaryotic small subunit ribosomal RNA", at positions 1470 to 1796 of the family's 1831-position model. The record is from RNAcentral.
CCCUUAGAUGUUCUGGGCCGCACGCGCGCUACACUGACGAUGUCAGAGAGUGUCUCCUUCACCGAGAGGUGUGGGUAAUCUUUUAAACAUCGUCGUGCUGGGGAUAGAUCAUUGCAAUUUUUGAUCUUAAACGAGGAAUUCCUAGUAAGCGCGAGUCAUCAGCUCGCGCUGAUUACGUCCCUGCCCUUUGUACACACCGCCCGUCGCACCUACCGAUUGGAUGGUCCGGUGAAGCCUCGGGAUUGUGGUUCUUGCCGCUUUAUUGUGGCGUGACCGCGAGAACUUGUCUAAACCUUAUCAUCUAGAGGAAGGUGAAGUCGUAACA